Molecule: small nuclear RNA, 188 nt
Organism: Pogoniulus pusillus (Red-fronted tinkerbird)
Lineage: Eukaryota; Metazoa; Chordata; Aves; Piciformes; Lybiidae
Product: U2 spliceosomal RNA
Exons: 1
Source: RefSeq, a predicted model, not a curated record
GCCACUUGGUGGCCUUUUGGCUAAGAUCAAGUGUAGUAUCUGCUCUUAUCAGUUUAAUAGCUGAUAUGUCCUUAGAGGACUUCAUAUUAAAUGGAUUUAUGGGGUGUGGCAGUUGGAUUUGGAGCUUGCUUCCUCCACUCCAUGCAUCGUCCUGGUAUUGCAGGGCCUUCAGAAAUGGGGCAGCAAUG